RNAcentral lists this ribosomal RNA (495 nucleotides) under uncultured bacterium. RNAcentral's name for it is "partial 16S ribosomal RNA". It matches the Rfam family "Bacterial small subunit ribosomal RNA", at positions 28 to 507 of the family's 1533-position model. The record is from RNAcentral.
GACGAACGCUGGCGGCGUGCCUAAUACAUGCAAGUAGAACGCUGAAGGAGGAGCUUGCUUCUCUGGAUGAGUUGCGAACGGGUGAGUAACGCGUAGGUAACCUGCCUGGUAGCGGGGGAUAACUAUUGGAAACGAUGGCUAAUACCGCAUAAUAGUAGAUGUUGCAUGACAUUUGCUUAAAAGGUGCAAUUGCAUCACUACCAGAUGGACCUGCGUUGUAUUAGCUAGUUGGUGAGGUAACGGCUCACCAAGGCGACGAUACAUAGCCGACCUGAGAGGGUGAUCGGCCACACUGGGACUGAGACACGGCCCAGACUCCUACGGGAGGCAGCAGUAGGGAAUCUUCGGCAAUGGACGGAAGUCUGACCGAGCAACGCCGCGUGAGUGAAGAAGGUUUUCGGAUCGUAAAGCUCUGUUGUAAGAGAAGAACGAGUGUGAGAGUGGAAAGUUCACACUGUGACGGUAUCUUACCAGAAAGGGGCGGCUAACUACGUG